UAUCCUAUAGUUUAAUGGUAAAACAAUAUACUUCUAAUAUUUUAAUAUAGGUUCAAUUCCUAUUAGGAUAU
This 71-nucleotide transfer RNA is filed under the name Candida neerlandica. RNAcentral describes it as "tRNA-Arg". It matches the Rfam family "tRNA". Rfam says of the family: Transfer RNA (tRNA) molecules are approximately 80 nucleotides in length. Their secondary structure includes four short double-helical elements and three loops (D, anti-codon, and T loops). The record is from RNAcentral. Lineage: Eukaryota; Fungi; Ascomycota; Pichiomycetes; Serinales; Debaryomycetaceae.